AUGGCGGUGGCACAUCAGAUUGGAGAGAUGGCGGUGGUGGUGGUGCUGAUGGCAGUGAGACGUCUGACUGUGGAGGUGCGUCCAUGUCUAGUUGUAUGAAGUCAAGGGGACCUGGAAAAUUCUGCUGCAGACAAUUCCAGGGAAAUGAGGUUUAUAAUGGUAAGGAAACCAAAUAUUUUCUUGAAACUUAAAACUUCAUCUCCAUGAUUUGCUGCACCUAAUGUUCUUUUGUUAACACUUUUAUCUACACUCCACGCGGUAAUAUCACAUCAAAUUCUCUUUGGAUUCCCUUUUUUCUCCUGUGCUCGUCUUCUCUGAUGUGAAGCUUAAUAUGAUUAUUUUAGUGUUAAAGGUUUAUUGAAACUAUUCAAUACACACCAUGCAGAGAUAUUCUCUUACAUUCAUGAGAAUUAUGUUUACAUUUUGCCCAUUGUUUAUCAAAAAGUCACUUCAUUAUCCACAAUUAUUAGCAAUCUUUUGUUAACCUUUUACUGUUAAAUUAAUGUGAUGGGAUAAGAAUCACUGAGCUGGGGAAAUUUCUAAAGCAUAAUUAAGGGGCAUUUUGGUUUGGCCUCUUUCUUUCAACGCUUGAAGUUUAUAAAAUUUUUGAGUUUUUUUUUUUUUUCUAAAAAAAAGUGAAUAGUUGUUUGGUUUAUUUCUUGUUGUUUAACAUAAAUUGUCCAUAAAUAAUUAAAAAUUGUUAAAAUAUUUUUAAAAAAACUUUAUAGCUAUUGUUUUUCUUUUUUCAAAAACCCGAACACCAUAAUUUAAAUACCAAUAUGCAACAUGAUGUAUUUGUUAGAAAGUUGUGAUCUUUGUAAACUUAUUUUUGAAGAAAUUGUGAAUGCCAUGAACAGCUUUGAUCAUGCUGGGGAGCACAAGUUUCAGAAUUGCGAUUGCCGAUCCAUUUUCAAUUUGCAACAGAACAGAGCCCCAGGAAGAACCUUUAGUAAGAUCAUGGCAAUGUUGUUAAGACUCCCACGAAGAAACACACUGACUGAACUCACAAAUCCUCUGUUUCUUUAAUGAUAGAGGAUGAGACUGCAACA
RNAcentral lists this long non-coding RNA (1049 nucleotides) under Carica papaya (papaya). RNAcentral's name for it is "long non-coding RNA (CPAP_LNC008648)". Lineage: Eukaryota; Viridiplantae; Streptophyta; Magnoliopsida; Brassicales; Caricaceae. The record is from RNAcentral.